UUAAAGUCAAAGACGAAUUCGAAUGCUACUCAGAAAGUUACGUUAAAUGUUUUUGGGGUUUAUGCGACUCUCAUAAAAACGAAAGUAGUUUUGUUUCAAAAACUUCGGAGCAAGUAAUAACAAAGCAACCACAACGGCAGUACCAUUAUUACUGAGACAAUAAAGGAUAAAGGAGAUAAAUCAAACAUCAUGUAAAAUUAGAAAAAUAAAUUAUUUGUUUUAUUACAUUAAAUACUUUGAUCACUUAAACUA
Molecule: long non-coding RNA, 252 nt
Organism: Colias croceus (clouded yellow)
Lineage: Eukaryota; Metazoa; Arthropoda; Insecta; Lepidoptera; Pieridae
Exons: 2
Source: RefSeq, a predicted model, not a curated record